UUCUGUUACUCCUAUUGUCUAAAAUCUGGGUGGAGACAGUCUAAUUCUAAAUUCCAUAAAUUUGUCAUUAUCAGCCCAAUCAUAAACAGGAGUUCACUAUGAGAAGUCUGCAAUGAUGGGUUGAGAAUGUGCCCUCCACAGCAUCAUCUGUUAUCACCAGUCUGGAACCACUUAAGUAAACAGGAAGAAGAGAAGGUUCACCUACUAAAAUGGAAGAAAAUGAGAGGAUUUUGAAGAUAACUUCUUUGCACAAAUGGAGCAAGCAAAUUCCCUCAAGACAAUGAGCGAAUGAGGAGGCAGCACAACCACGUCCAGGAGCCCCUCUGCCACUGAACUCCUAAGAUCUCAGGGAAGCCAAAGCCACGACAAGAUCUGAAAAGUAUCCCAUGAGCUCGGAGGCCGUUGUAGCUUUUACAUAUUUACUCUUCUGUACCA
This is a non-coding RNA of Oryctolagus cuniculus (rabbit), 435 nucleotides long. The record is from RefSeq and is a predicted model, not a curated record. Lineage: Eukaryota; Metazoa; Chordata; Mammalia; Lagomorpha; Leporidae.